CCUUAGCCCUGAUGGGAGGGAAAAUCCUUUUGGGGCGGGGUUCGCCCCCAAAAGAUUUGGAAGGACAGCAGGAUCAAGC
Molecule: small RNA, 79 nt
Filed under: Flavobacterium sp. 270
Lineage: Bacteria; Pseudomonadati; Bacteroidota; Flavobacteriia; Flavobacteriales; Flavobacteriaceae
Description: Flavo-1 RNA
Rfam family: Flavo-1 RNA
Source: RNAcentral